GCCYGGUCUUUAUGGCGCUGGCUACRCACGUGUUAGAAUGGAGGGCACAAACCGUUGCCAACCCGGYGGGGGGAACUAAUCAAAAAAAACUCUGCUCCGUUCSGAUUGCUGUCUGCAACUCGCCUGCAUGAAGCCUGAAUCGCUAUUAAUGGUCUAUCAGAUCGACKCCAUGAAUACCUUCCCGGGGCUUGUACACACCGCC
RNAcentral lists this ribosomal RNA (202 nucleotides) under uncultured bacterium. RNAcentral describes it as "partial 16S ribosomal RNA". It matches the Rfam family "Bacterial small subunit ribosomal RNA", at positions 1193 to 1394 of the family's 1533-position model. The record is from RNAcentral.